This is a long non-coding RNA of Oncorhynchus keta (chum salmon), 233 nucleotides long. RefSeq lists it as uncharacterized. The record is from RefSeq and is a predicted model, not a curated record. NCBI's taxonomy places the organism in Eukaryota, Metazoa, Chordata, Actinopteri, Salmoniformes, Salmonidae. The transcript is spliced from 2 exons.
CACAUUGAGCCUGUCCUGUGGAAGAGGCCCCUCCAUCAGGCACCAUAAUACACAUUGAGUCUGUCCUGUGGAAGCAGCCCCUCCACCAGGUACCAUAAUACACGUUGAGCCUGUCCUGUGGAAGAGGCCCCUCCAUCAGGCACCAUAAUACACGUUGAGUCUGUCCUGUGGAAGCAGCCCCUCCACCAGGUACCAUAAUACACAUUGAGCCUGUCCUGUGGAAGAGGCCCCUC